CCUACGGGUGGCAGCAGUGGGGAAUAUUGCGCAAUGGGCGAAAGCCUGACGCAGCGACGCCGCGUGAGGGAUGAAGGUCUUCGGAUCGUAAACCUCUGUCAGCAGGGAAGAACGGUCACUGAACUAAUCAGCAGUGAAUUGACGGUACCUGCAAAGGAAGCACCGGCUAACGCCGUGCCAGCAGCCGCGGUAAUACGGAGGGUGCGAGCGUUAAUCGGAAUGACUGGGCGGAAAGCGCGCGUAGGCGGUAUGUCAAGUCUAGGGUGAAAUGCCCGCGCUCAACGUGGGCACUGCCUUUGAAACGGGCAAACUGGAGUGUGUGAGAGGAUAGUGGAAUUCCAGGUGUAGGAGUGAAAUGCGUAGAUAUCUGGAGGAACAUCAGUGGCGAAGGCGACUAUCUGGCACAUAACUGACGCUGAGGAGCGAAAGCGUGGGUAGCAAACAGGAUUAGAUACCCUUGUAGUC
Molecule: ribosomal RNA, 465 nt
Filed under: uncultured bacterium
Lineage: Bacteria
Description: partial 16S ribosomal RNA
Rfam family: Bacterial small subunit ribosomal RNA
Source: RNAcentral